UAGGGAAUUGUUCGCAAUGGGCGCAAGCCUGACGACGCAACGCCGCGUGGAGGAUGAAGGUCUUCGGAUUGUAAACUCCUGUCGUGUGGGACAAACAUCCACCGGGCUAAUCACCGGAGGACUGACGGUACCACGAAAGGAAGCCCCGGCUAACUCUGUGCCAGCAGCCGCGGUAAUACAGAGGGGGCGAGCGUUGUUCGGAAUUACUGGGCGUAAAGGGCGCGUAGGCGGCUUGCUAAGUCGGACGUGAAAUCCCCUGGCUCAACCAGGGAACUGCGUCCGAUACUGGCGAGCUUGAAUCCGGGAGAGGGAUGCGGAAUUCCAGGUAUAGCGGUGAAAUGCGUAGAUAUCUGGAGGAACACCGGUGGCGAAGGCGGCAUCCUGGACCGGCAUUGACGCUGAGGCGCGAAAGCCAGGGGAGCAAAC
This 426-nucleotide ribosomal RNA is filed under the name uncultured bacterium. RNAcentral's name for it is "bacterial SSU rRNA". It matches the Rfam family "Bacterial small subunit ribosomal RNA", at positions 355 to 773 of the family's 1533-position model. The record is from RNAcentral.